RNAcentral lists this long non-coding RNA (961 nucleotides) under Salmo salar (Atlantic salmon). RNAcentral describes it as "lncRNA (ENSSSAG00000122063.1)". Lineage: Eukaryota; Metazoa; Chordata; Actinopteri; Salmoniformes; Salmonidae. The record is from RNAcentral.
GUGGGAUGCAAGGUGGUAUGCUGAGAGAGGAGAGCUGUUCACCUACAACUAAAUCCAUAGGGGCACUUCAACAAGGCCUACAUUACAAUGAGCUCACAAUGUAAGCUCACUUACCAAGAUCCUAGAGACAAAAAAUUAAGCUGCUCAAUCUCUCACGGAUUUCCUUGCAAGGAAGUGCAUUUAAAAACGACAUAAGAAUAGAAGCAUACACACUCAACACACCGGAAAGAAAAGACCAGCCAAGAGACAAAGUGGGCGUCUUGUCACAGGUUGGGCCUGCACCAUGGAUAACAUGUCCCCGGACGAGAGAUAGUGACAGACAGACAGACCGACCAACAUGUUUAGUCUGCCUCCUAGCCCCUUGGACUAAUUCCUGCUGCAGCAGAUGAAUUGACUGAUUCUUUAAACAGCCUAACAUGGCACAUGACUGGAGGGAUGAUGUCAUCAGGGUGAGAUGGCUCGAAGAGUGACACCCCCAAGCCAUUAACUCGAGCGGGCUGCCAUUCCUAGUUAUCCCCUCCACUCUUGAGCCCGAACUCAACACCGGCACUGGGCGCUGUCCGCAGUCAAAGCAGCCAGUUCUCCCCUUCUAUCCUCCCCAGAUGGCAAAGUUCAGGUCAAGUUUAAAGAAAGAGAGAAAGUUGUAAAACGUGGACUUCCUGAAUGGUGCUCUUCCUGUUUCCAGGCCUAUCCGGGAGAGAGAGAGAGUGGUCUCAGUGUGCUUGUUCCAAGCUUCCAGCGCUGGGUCAGAGGACUGAGGGGUGAGCAGCUGACACUAUGUCAAGAGUGGAGGGUGACUACGUCAACAUGUGGUUAUGCACCUGUAAUAACAACUGUCCACCCGUUCAUACACAACGUCGUACACCUAGGAGCUACAUUCUGACCAGGUAGGGUGCAACGCCAGUUACUUAUCUGCAUGCGUAGCGUUAUUUCUUCGUAUUUUUUCUGGACAGCUUGUGAG